UACGGAGGGUGCGAGCGUUGUUCGGAAUCACUGGGCGUAAAGGGCGUGUAGGCGGUCCGCUAAGUCUGAUGUGAAAGCCCGGGGCUCACCCCCGGAAGGGCAUUGGAAACUGACGGACUCGAGUCCCGAAGAGGAGGGUGGAAUUCCUGGUGUAGCGGUGAAAUGCGUAGAUAUCUGGAGGAACACCGGUGGCGAAGGCGGCAUCCUGGACCAAUACUGACACUGAGGAGCGAAAGCCAGGGGAGCAAACGGG
RNAcentral lists this ribosomal RNA (253 nucleotides) under uncultured bacterium. RNAcentral's name for it is "partial 16S ribosomal RNA". It matches the Rfam family "Bacterial small subunit ribosomal RNA", at positions 524 to 776 of the family's 1533-position model. The record is from RNAcentral.